UGCGAGAAUGUGAGUACGUUGGAUGGAC
RNAcentral lists this non-coding RNA (28 nucleotides) under Rattus norvegicus (Norway rat). The record is from RNAcentral. Lineage: Eukaryota; Metazoa; Chordata; Mammalia; Rodentia; Muridae.